CAUCUUUGCAAUUUCCUGCAAGUUUAAAAGUUAUUCUUAGAACAGCCUUUAUAAGCUUUCAUACAUGAAGAAUAAACAUGCUGCAUCAUGGCGCAAAUCAUGCGGAGAGAAUGAGGAGUGGACCCAAACGCAGACAACUGAGAGAUAGGUGGAGGAUAACAAAUGCAAUCCUUUAUUUGGGCUGCACAACAACACUAUAAACAAAAAGCAAGGGGGAAUUGAGAACACUAACAAAAGCUAAACUGGAAACAGCUAAACUAAAGAACAUGAAGAACAAAGCAAAACUUGACAACCGAGAAUUAGGAACCUGAAGCAUGGAAACAUAGAGGAAGAAACACGGGAUGAAGAACAGAAUGAUGAACAGACAAUCUGACGAGGAACAGAGGUAAAUACACCCUAAAUAUACACAAGCAGGAAAACGAGAGGAUGGGGAACAGGUGAGAACACAGCUGGGAUUAAUCAGACAUGAUGAGAUGGGGAGGAGAGCAAAACUGAAGACACUGACACAAGACACAGACUGUCAAAGUAAAACAGGAAAUACAAGAGAGACACGAAGACGCAGAUUCGACACUUAGACAUGGAAACAUGAGACGAGGCGAGGUGAGGCACAGGAACAGAACAGACCAUAAUUCAACGAAUAAAACUUAAAAACACUGGGACAGUGACAAUGGCAUAAAUGCCACAUGACACCUUGUGUAUACCUGUGAGAGGCUUUGAAAACACAGCAUAGUAUUUAUGCGAUGUUGACUGUUUUUGUGUUUUUGUUUAUUUUGACCUGUUUUUGUAUAUCCGCAGCACUGAACCAAACACACAUCUCUGUGGGUCAACAUGCUACAAUCCAAAAGAGCACCACUGCUGUGAAAGAAACCAAAAGCCUCACUGGUUCUGCACCUCAGGUCAAAGCAAGGCAACACCCACUGUAUAUAAUCCACACAUACAAGUCUGCUGUGAUGGAUGUAUGUCUACGUGGAAGCCUUGGAUGGAUCAGUGCUGUGGAGAGACACCAUAUGGCUCGGGACAACGCAGAGUUCUCUGUUGUAAUAACACCUUGUAUGAGGACAGAGACGAUGGAGAGGAAUGUUCUGGCACGGGUAUUCCUUACAAUCCGGCUAAAGGGACCAUAUGUUGUUCUCAGUUUCACGGCAGCCCAGGACAACACUGCUGUGGGACAGAAAUUUACCGGCCUGAUGUUGAGAUUUGCUGCAAUGGACACAGACAUCCCAAAUCAGAAAACAUUCACUGCUGUGGGGUCAAAGCCUACAACAUUAAAGACCCACAAAUGAAGUGCUGUGCAGGAAGUCUGUACAAUCUGACAUCAUUAGAUAAGCAUGGAGGGGACGCGCAGUGCUGCGGAUCCACUCUGCAAAAGCCACAGGACAUUUGCUGCUCAAGUGAGGACAAAGAGGUGAUCUACUCUGCCAAGACAGGGUUCAAAUGCUGUGGUCACCUCUAUUACAACACCGCCCUGUGGUCAUGCUGUGCUGGGAGGCUGAGAUCAAUCCAUGAACCAGGACAGGGUCGAAGAAAGAUGAUUAAUGAAUCCAAAGUCCUAUCUGUGAAUAAUCUGAACAAAACAGAUCUUUGCCAAAAAAUUUACAUUGGGACUGUGGAAAGUGUGUCUCAGCAGAGCGUUGUGUUUGGGAAUGUGCUGAAGGUUCAUGGUAUGAAGACCAAAGUGAAAGCUCUGCCUUUUCCUUACAUCCUGGAAACAGAUGAUCGCUGCAGCUCCCCUAAACUGAUUCUUGGGAAGACCUACUUCUUUAACAAAGUUAAUGUUUUCACUGACUUCAAUCAUGACUCUGUUCUUCAGUCACUCCAUGUCAUUAUUUGCAAAUGUUCACCUUAGGUCACCAUUGGUUGAUUUAUACAUGGGCAGUCCUGAUGAGUUACUCUAUUCUCUGACAAAGUACUCAUUUUGUAUUUUCAUUUUGUGCUUG
Molecule: long non-coding RNA, 1937 nt
Organism: Oreochromis aureus
Lineage: Eukaryota; Metazoa; Chordata; Actinopteri; Cichliformes; Cichlidae
Source: Ensembl